RNAcentral lists this ribosomal RNA (489 nucleotides) under uncultured bacterium. RNAcentral's name for it is "partial 16S ribosomal RNA". It matches the Rfam family "Bacterial small subunit ribosomal RNA", at positions 28 to 507 of the family's 1533-position model. The record is from RNAcentral.
GAUGAACGCUAGCUACAGGCUUAACACAUGCAAGUCGAGGGGCAGCAUGAUUGAAGCUUGCUUCAAUCGAUGGCGACCGGCGCACGGGUGAGUAACACGUAUCCAACCUGCCGAUAACUCGGGGAUAGCCUUUCGAAAGAAAGAUUAAUACCCGAUAGUAUAGUAUUUCCGCAUGGUUUCACUAUUAAAGAACUUCGGUUAUCGAUGGGGAUGCGUUCCAUUAGAUAGUUGGCGGGGUAACGGCCCACCAAGUCAACGAUGGAUAGGGGUUCUGAGAGGAAGGUCCCCCACAUUGGAACUGAGACACGGUCCAAACUCCUACGGGAGGAAGCAGUGAGGAAUAUUGGUCAAUGGACGAGAGUCUGAACCAGCCAAGUAGCGUGAAGGAUGACUGCCCUAUGGGUUGUAAACUUCUUUUAUACGGGAAUAAAGUGGAGUAUGCAUACUCCUUUGUAUGUACCGUAUGAAUAAGGAUCGGCUAACUCCGUG